UUUUUUUCUUUUUUUUUUUUUCGUCUUUUAAGGCCCGCACUUGCAGCAUAUGGAGCGGCCCAAGAAAUGGCAAAAAGACAAACAAACAAACAAACAAAAACAAACUACAACACUUAUUACAAAGACCACACAAAAUAUGCUGGGGUUCCCGUUGUGGCACAGCGGAAAUGAAUACAACAAGGAACCAUGAGGUUUUGGGUUUGAUCCCUGGCUUUGCUCAGUGGGUUAAGUAUCCAGCGUUGCCCUCCCUGAGCUGUGGUGUGGGUCGCAGAUGCGGCUCAGAUACUGCAUUGCUGGUGGUGUGGUGCAGGCCAGCAGCUAUACCUCCAAUUUGACCCCUAGCCUGGGAAUCUCCAUAUGCUGACGAUGGGGCCCUAAAAACAAAUGCUGUAACAGUUACAUAUAACAAGCAAGAUAUAAAAGUUUAUGUACACGAACAUUUCAAGUGUAUUUUUGAAACUAAAAAUCUAUGUAGAAUGUGCAAGGUGAACUGUAGGAAGCAAAGAUGUACAAUAUUAGCUUAAUAUUGAGGCAGAAAAAUCAAGUAUUUGUACCAAUAAGCACAAGAUGAGGGAGAAUGAAAGCCAUGCAAUAAUUCCAGGAGGAAAAAAAAUAAAAUCUUGGAACAAUGAAGACUUAGAAAAAGCAAGUCUAUGUGUCUAAGAACCUUUUGGGGUAGAGAGAUUGGGGGAAAUGUUUAGGAGAAUAAAAGGAUCUGCAGAGCUCAGUACAGGUGGGUCUCUAUCUCGACUUUCCCGACUUUCCCACCGUCUAUAAAAUGACAAGCAGUUUGCACAUGAACUUGAAAUCACAGGUCACUUUCAACUACAUGUGAUAAAUAAUACUGUCCAUCAGCCAACCUGGGCACCUCAAAGUUAGUAGAGGGAAGGCAAGCACAGCAAGCAGUGUCUUUGGUGGACACCUUCUCUCCCUACAUCAUUUCCCAUGUCUUGCUGACUUGUGUUUCAAGUCACCAGUGAACCUAAGAAAUGGGAAAGUUC
Molecule: long non-coding RNA, 1001 nt
Filed under: Sus scrofa (pig)
Lineage: Eukaryota; Metazoa; Chordata; Mammalia; Artiodactyla; Suidae
Description: lncRNA (ENSSSCG00015048410.1)
Source: RNAcentral